AUGUCCGUUGAGUCAAUGAUGUCAUCCAACCAUCGCAUCCUUUGUCCCCUUCUUCUCCUGCCUUCAAUCUUUCCCAGCAUCAGGGUCUUUUCCAGUGAGUCAGUUCUUCAUUUCAGGUGGUCAGACUAUUGGAACUUCAGCAUCAGUCCUUCCAAUGAAUAUUCAAGGUUGAUUUCCUUUAGGAUUUACUGGUUUGAUCUCCCCGCUGUCCAACAGACUCUGAACAGUCUUCUCCAGCGCCAUAAAACCAUUCAAUGCCACCGUACACUGAGCUACCCUGUCUUCCUAUGUCUGAAACUGAAUAAAGCAUUUUCUGUUGACGGAAAUGAUACUGCCAAGGAGACAGAGCUAGCAGCUGCAGGAACUUUUACAAUUAUGACUCUAAGGAGAGCCACAGUAUCCAGAUCAACCCAGGGUUUCCCUGAUGGCUCAGCGGUUAGAAGAAUCCACCUGCAAUGCAGGAGACACAAGAGAUGCAGAUUUGAUUCUUGGGUCUGGAAGAUCCCCCUGGAGAAGGAAAUGGCAACCCACUCCAGUAUUCUUGCCUAGAAAAAAAUCUCAUGGACAGAAGAACCUGGUGGGCUACAUUCCAAAGGACCUCAAAGAGUCAGAUAGGACUGAGCAACUGAGAAUGCAGACCAACCGAACCCUCCUCCUUUAUACCAAAGGCUCACUGAAUUUACCUCUUUCAUCAUUCAUUCUUUCUGCCCUCGUGUGUGGUGGAUUCAUCACAUAGAAAAUUCCCUUUCUUAGUUGGAACUGGAUUUCAAGAGUGAGAAUGGGCAGGUCACGUGGUGUUCCCUGUCAACAGUGGAUCAUUUCCUGGUCUAGGACGUCUUGGUGGAGGUGGAGGGAUGUCCUCCAUCUGGGAACCCUCAGCUGCUAACAGGAGAGACCAUUUAGGCCCCCACAUUUCAUGUAAUUUUGUCUCCUAAAAAUAAGAGCUCCAAGUAGUCAUUCUGGCCUUGACUUAUUGGGAUGACCAAAAAGUUCAUUUGGGUGUAAGAUGUUAUGGGAAGGGUUUCCCUAGUGCCUCAGAGGGUAAAGUGUCGUGCCUGCAACGUGGGAGACCCAGGUUCGAUCCCUGGGUCAGGGAGAUCCCCUGGAGAUGGAAAUGGCAAACUGCUCCAGUAUUCUUGCCUGGAGAAUUCCAUGGACGGAGGAGCUUGGCGGGCUACAGUUCAUGGGGUUGUAAAGAGUCAGACACAGCUGAGCAAUUAACACUUUCAACUUGUUAUGGGAAAACCCAAAUGAACUUUUUGGCCAACCCAAUACUUUACUGCUGAAAACUUUCUUGUAUACAUUCCCUUUUGAAGGAUAUCAUACUUCAGACUGGACCAAACAAAUCUCUGUGGCCCUUUCACUUCCUGAUCUUUCUCUCCUUUAAGUCACUCAGUCACCCUCCUUAACUAUCUUCUACACUUCAUUAAGAAUGGUUUCAGUGUGUUCCAUUUCUGAGAAAGAUAUCUCCAACUAAAUUUCCACCUUAGUUCCCAAUAGGCUUUGCUUACUGAUUAGGUCAUGAAGGUUUCUGGAAGCUAAAUUGGAAGUAUUAAUAUUUGUAACUACAGUUGCUGAGAUCUAUAUCUAUAUAUCUGUGAAGUCUGCUACAAGAUGAGAAUGAGUUUUAAAUUGAUCUUUAAGUGUUGAACAACCAUGUCCACUGGAACGUUUUAGACAUCUCUUCUGAACUUAUCACUUCGUGUCAUGGGUGGGUCAACUUUCACAGUUUCUCCAGACGUUUUUUCCCCCUUUCAGUGUGGGGCACAUACACCAGCCGGAAACCCACUUUCCGAGAGCAGUCUCCCAGGCGCUGAGCAGCGCUCUGGUGCGGGCCAUGAGCUCUUUGUACACUAGCAGCAUUUUCAGAGUUUUUUGAUUUUGGUGGUGGUGUUUGAUUUGUCCCUGAAUCCACUGUUGGAAGCACAUCCAUUUAUUGUCUAUAGAUUCCAAAAAGCUCUGUAAAAUAUAACUUAAGGACAUGAUUUGCACUGCUGAGUCAGGCUGUUGGGAUUUUGCAGUUUGGGUUUGUUAACUCUGAAGGGGAAUAAUGGCUUGUGGAGCACAGCUGAGCCUGUGCCUCACUGAAUGGGGUUCCAUGGCUUCUUCUCUAGAGUCCUUGAAUUCCUUGGUGGAUGGGGUAAUGUUGUAAAUGGAUGUAGUGGGUUGAAUUGUGGCCCCUGAGAAUAUGUCCACUUGGAAUGUGACUUUAUUUGUAGUAAGGAUCUUUGCAGAUGUGAUAAGGUGAGGAUCUUGAGAUGAGAUCAUCUUGAAUUAGGGUGGGCUCCAAAUUUCUUAUAAGACAGGUCCGUAUAAGACAAGAGAAGGGGGAAGAUACAGACACACAGAGAAGGCCAUGUGAAGAUGGAGCCAGAUUGGACUAUGUAGCCGAAAGCCAAGGAAUGCCAAGGGUUGCUGGCAGCCCCAGAAGCAAGGACAGAAACAUCCAACGAUUCUCUAUCAGUACUUCCAGAAAGAAUCAACCUUUCUGAUAACUUGAAUUCAGAUUUCUGGCCUCCAGAACUGUUAUAGCAUAAAUUUCUGUUACUUUAAGGGAGCAAGUUUCUGGUAAUUUAUUAUGACAACCCUAGGAAACAAAUACAAUAAGGGUUGUCAAAUGAAAUAUUUUACAUAUAGGAAGGAGUGUGUUAUUUAAAGCAAGGAUUGGCAAACCAAAGCCUGAAGGCCAAUCUGGCUGCUGACUAUUUUUUUAAAUAAAGUUUUAUUGAAACACA
Bos indicus x Bos taurus (hybrid cattle) is the source of this 2735-nucleotide long non-coding RNA. Lineage: Eukaryota; Metazoa; Chordata; Mammalia; Artiodactyla; Bovidae. The record is from Ensembl.